GUUUUGGGGGUCAGUUUUGGGGUUUUUGGGGUCGGUUUUGGGGUUCUGGUUUUUGGGGUCGGUUUUGGGGUCAGUUUUGGGUUUGGGGGUCAGUUUUAGGGUCAGUUUUGGGGUCAGUUUUGGGGUUUUUAGGGUGGUUUGGGGGUCAGUUUGGGUUUUUUUUGGGGUGUUUUUGGGUUUUGGGGUUGGUUUGGGGGUUUUUGGGUUUUGGGGUCAGUUUUGGGUUUUGGGGUCAGUUUUGGGGUCAGUUUUGGGGUCAGUUUUGGGGUCAGUUUUGGGGUUUUGGGGCUCAUUUUGGGGGUUUUUGGAGUCUGUCAUGGGUUUUUGGGGUGGUUUUGGGCUCAGUUUUGGGGUUUUAGGGUCAGUUUUGGGCUGAGUUUGGGGGUUUUGGGGGUCAGUUUUGGGGUUUUUGGGGUCGGUUUUGGGGUUCUGGUUUUUGGGGUCGGUUUUGGGGUCAGUUUUGGGUUUGGGGGUCAGUUUUGGGGUCAGUUUUGGGGUCAGUUUUGGGGUCAGUUUUGGGUUUUGGGGUCAGUUUUGGGGUUCUGGUUUUUGGGGUCGGUUUUGGGGUCAUUUGGGGGGUUUUUGGGGCCUCACCGCCAGCAGCUGGUUCUCGGUGAGGUUCCAGAAGCUCUUCCAGAAGCCGACCUCCAGGUUUUGGGUCAGGCGCUCGAAUUCGGCCCCGCGCAGCUCCGGGUCCAGGGCGUAGCGGCCCCCCGAGAACAGCGAGCCCGCCGCCGCGCCUGCCCCAUAGCGACCCACAAGUGACCCACAAGUGACCCAUAGCGACCCACAAGUGACCCACAAGUGACCCAUAACUAACCCAUAAGUGACCCAUAAGUGACUCACAGUGACCCACAAGUGACCCACAACUGACCCAUAGCGCCCCAUAAGUGACCCAGAACUGACCCAGAACUGACCCACAAGUGACCCAUAAGUGACCCACAAGUGACCCAUAAGUGACCCAUAAGUGACUCAUAAGUGACCCAUAGCGCCCCAUAACUAACCCAGAACUGACCCAUAAGUGACCCACAAGUGACCCAUAAGUGACCCAUAACUAACCCAGAACUGACCCACAACUGACCCAUAAGUGACCCAUAGCGACCCAUAAGUAAGGGACCCAGAAGUGACCCAUAAGUGACCCACAAGUGACCCAUAACUAACCCCUAAGUGACCCAUAAGUGACCCAUAGCGACCCAUAACUAACUCAGAACUGACCCAUAAGUGACCUAUAGCGCCCCAUAAGUGACCCACAAGUGACCCAUAAGGGACUGAUAAGUGACCCAUAACUAACCCCUAAGUGACCCAUAAGUAAGGGACUCAUAAGUGACCCAUAAGUGACCCAUGACCCCAUACAGACCCAUAAGUGACCCCUAAGUGACCCCUAAGUGACCCACAAGUGACUCAUAAGUGACCCACAACUGACCCAUAAGUGACCCAUAGCGCCCCAUAACUAACCCAGA
RNAcentral lists this long non-coding RNA (1460 nucleotides) under Anas platyrhynchos platyrhynchos (common mallard). RNAcentral's name for it is "lncRNA (ENSAPLG00000028915.1)". The record is from RNAcentral. Lineage: Eukaryota; Metazoa; Chordata; Aves; Anseriformes; Anatidae.